CUUUUUAGGGCUGCACCGGCAGCAUAUGGAGGUUCCUAGGCUAGGGGUUUAAUCGAACCUGCAGCUGCCGGCCUAUGCCACAGCCACAGAAAUGCCAGAUCCAAGCCAAGUCUGUGACCUACACAGCUCACAGCAAGGCCAGAUCCUUUACCCAUUGAGUGAGGCCAGGGAUUGAGCCCACAUCCUCAUGGUUCCUAGUUGGGUUCAUUAACCACUGAGCCAUGAAGGGAACUCCCACCAUGGGUUAUUUUAAAUGUUUCUUGUUCCUUGUAUUUCCCCAAAUUGGCAGGUGGUUAGGGGUGAGUUGCCUACUAGACAUACAAGAAAAGAAGGGAGAAUAGGCAGUUGGAUACAGGCUGGAGACAGGAGAGAAUAAAUUGUGAAUCAUAGACAUGGAGAACUUAAAGCCAUGAUUCUAGGUGAGAUGGCUGAGGGAAUGAGAGCAGACAGGCCAGAGAAACGUGGGGGAGGUACCACACCGAGGAAAGAGAUGGGGAGCACAUCCGGUGAGACAAGAACGAUCAGUUAGGACAGUGUCCCCGCAGGCAAGAAAGGAAGGUAUUUGAGGAAGGGAGGAGUGAUGAACUGUGUCAAGUGUGACAACAGAUUCAGUAAAAUAAGGAUGGCAAAUUUAGUACUGAGUUUGGCAAAGACGUCACUGGUGACCUUGAGAGGAGCUCUUGGGUGGAGACUCGAAGGCAGACUGGAAUGGGUUCAAGAGAAUGAAUGAGAGGAAGUGGAGACUCUCAAAGACAACUCUUUUUAAGAAGUUUUGCUGCAGUUCCCGUCGUGGCUCAGUGGAAACGCAUCUGACUGGUAUCCAUGAGGAUGCAGGUUUGAUCCCUGGCCAUGUGCCACAGGAAAAUUUGUUUUCAAGAUGGAUCUUAAGAGCCUAUUUGGAUUGUGUGAGACUGAGAAGGAAACACGUGGAUGCGCGUGUGUUUAGGGGGUUGCUGGAGCAAGAACCUUUGAGGAGGUAAGAAGGACAGAACUCAGGGCCCCUGUGAAGGGUCUGGUCUCCAGGAGGACGGUGGACAGUUCAUCCACUCACCACUCACAGGAGGAAAGUCUGUGCACAGAUGCAAACAGACCAGUAGAUGUGGUGGUGGGAACGUGCAGUUACUGCUUGUUUUCCUCACGUGAUGAGAGGCAGGGCCAGGAGCUGAGAAUGGGGAGAGGUGUUGGAGGUUUGAGGACACAGUAUUCUCCGGGGAGUGGGAAGAAAAAUGGAUAAGGAAAACAUACUAGAUUACUGGUCUUAAAGUGAGAUGGUACAGCCUGGUUGUGCGUGCUUCUCUGGCCAAGUUUAAGUCCUCAGGGAGAUGCAGAGUAGGCAGAGACUUAGAUCUACCCAGAAGUGGGCUCUUUCCUGUCGACAGGAGAAAGGGGCAAGGGCACUGAGAGUGAAGGCAAGGAAGCGGUUUUAUUUCAUUUUUUUGCUUUCUAGGGCUGCACUCGCAGCACAUGGAGAUUCCCCGGCUAGGGACUGAAUAGGAGCUACAGCUGCCGGCCUACACCACAGCCCCAGCAAUGCAGGAUCCGAGCCACAUCUGCGACCGACACCACAGCUCACAGCAAUGCCAGAUUCUUAACCCACUGAGGGAGGCCAGGGACUGAACCCGAAACCUCAGGGUUCCUAGUUGGCUUCAUUUCCGCUGCACCACCUGGGAACUCUGGUUUUAACAACAGCAUGUUUGAGGGUUUGCUUACACAAGAGAUGUUCAGUUUUUUUGUUUUUGUUUUUUUGCUUUUCAGGGCCGCACCUGUAGCAUAUGGAAAUUCCCAGCUAGAGGUCAAAUUAGAGCUACUGCUGUCAGCCUACGCCACAGCACCGCCAGAUCCAAGCCUUGCCUUCAACCUACACCACAGCUCAUAGCAAUGCCGGAUCCCUGACCCACUUAGUGAGGCCAGGGAUCAAACCUGAGUCUUCAUGGAUAUUAUAGUCGGUUCGUUACCACUGAGCCACAACAGGAACUCCCUCAUCUUUAGAUUUUUACAGGAGAGUUUAUUUAAAAAAAAAAAAGUCUAAUUGUUUAAUCACUGUUAUUUGGGAGCUCUAUUUCUCUUAGCUGAACCUAAUCUUAACCGAUAUUUUAGGGAAAAAGCUUAAUACAGGAAAUAUAUCUAUUUUAAAUAUUUGAACACAUAUUUAUCUUGCCUAAACUUAAUUCGAUGGUUGUAUCUUUUUCUUUUUGUUCCUUUUUUCCCUCUUUUGGUGGCCUGGUGGCAUAUGGCACUCCUGGGCCAGGAAUCAGACCCAAGCCACAGCUGUGAACUAUGAUGCAGCUGCAGCAAUGCUGGGUCCUUAACCCACUCUGCCGGUCUGGGGAUCAAACCUGCAUCCAGGCGCUCCAGGGACACCACCGAUCCUCAGGAGCUCCUCAAUGGUAGUAUUCAGCGACUCACCUUUAUUAAGUCUUUCCAAAGCAUUUACCUUAGUUUCUACAGAAAUAAGAACUUUCUUUUAGCAGUCCUAUUCAUCAGUUUAUGUAAUAUUUAAUUAAAGUACGUGCUUACCUUAUUUUCAUCAGAAAGUUUCUUCUAAUCCUCAUAUUUUAUUAGUUUAUACCAUCUUUAAUUGAAUUAUGUAAUUGCAAUGGUGAACACCACUGGCAAAAACAAACUUGGGAAAAACACAACUGUCUUUUGGAAAGCACAUAACCCAGCCAUGUGAGCAGUGUCUUCACACACCAACCCCUCCUAUGUCUGAAGGAGUGAGGAGACAGAACAUUAGUUACCUAUCCUGAGGGUCAGUUGAGUACAUGCCAGGUCUCCUACAGAGCGUCUUUUUACAUUAAUAUAGUUCAAAAACAGAAUCUUGAUUAAACAUUUAACCUCACAAAUCCAUGAGCAACUUACUGUUGAUGCGCAUGUGGACAGGUGCAAACAUUCUGGAGGGCAGUACCUACCAAAAUCCAUAAAGAGAUCAUAGAAUUUGACUAAGUUUUUUUUGUUUUUUGGUUUUUUUUUUUUUUUUUUUUUUUUUUGUCUUUUUAGGGCUGCACCUGUGGCAUAUGGAGGUUCCCAGGCUAGGGGUUGAAUCAGAGCUGUAGCUGCCGGCCUACACCACAGGAUACAGCUGCAUCCUUAACCCACUGAGCAAGGCCAGGGAUUGAACCCAUGUCCUUGUGGACAUGAGUCAAGUUUGCUGGAGUCACAAUAGGAAGUCCCCUUUAGGAUUUUUUUUUUUUUAAUUACAAAUGGCUUUAAUGGAGUUCCCGUCGUGGCUCAGUGGUUAACGAACCUGUGACUAGUAUCCGUGAGGUCAUGGGUUUAAUCACUGGCCUCGCUCAGUGACUUAAGGAUCUUGGCGUUGCCUUGAGCUGUGGUGUAGGUCACAGUUGUGGCUUGGAUCUGGUGUUGCUGUGGCUG
This 3372-nucleotide long non-coding RNA is filed under the name Sus scrofa (pig). Its description in RNAcentral is "lncRNA (ENSSSCG00000055518.1)". The record is from RNAcentral. Lineage: Eukaryota; Metazoa; Chordata; Mammalia; Artiodactyla; Suidae.